UACGUAGGGUGCAAGCGUUGUCCGGAAUUAUUGGGCGUAAAGAGCUCGUAGGCGGUCUGUCGCGUCUGCUGUGAAAACUCGGGGCUUAACCCCGGGCCUGCAGUGGGUACGGGCAGACUAGAGGCAGGUAGGGGAGAAUGGAAUUCCCGGUGUAGCGGUGAAAUGCGCAGAUAUCGGGAGGAACACCGGUGGCGAAGGCGGUUCUCUGGGCCUGACCUGACGCUGAGGAGCGAAAGCGUGGGGAGCGAACAGG
This 253-nucleotide ribosomal RNA is filed under the name uncultured bacterium. RNAcentral describes it as "partial 16S ribosomal RNA". It matches the Rfam family "Bacterial small subunit ribosomal RNA", at positions 524 to 776 of the family's 1533-position model. The record is from RNAcentral.